RNAcentral lists this long non-coding RNA (226 nucleotides) under Elaeis guineensis (African oil palm). RNAcentral's name for it is "long non-coding RNA (EGUI_LNC001019)". The record is from RNAcentral. Lineage: Eukaryota; Viridiplantae; Streptophyta; Magnoliopsida; Arecales; Arecaceae.
GAAAGAAAAGAGAGAAAAUUAGGCGCAGGGUUUUUGGUGUGUACCCUAGGGUUUUUACCUAGGGUUCGGGAAGUGAGAUUGGUGUGCCACGAGUGUCGUGAGUCCACCAAAUUUCAGGAAGAGAUCCAUCAGCCUCUCAAGCAACUGUGCAGACGAUCCAGAGCAUCUGAGAAGUCGGCACACAUCGAUCGAAGGAGUUCGAUCAACAUCUGCCAUCAAAAGGGUG